UACGAAGGGGGCUAGCGUUGUUCGGAAUUACUGGGCGUAAAGCGCGCGCAGGCGGUCCUUCAAGUCAGAGGUGAAAGCCCAGAGCUCAACUCUGGAAUGGCCUUUGAGACUAGAGGACUUGGGUACGGGAGAGGUGAGUGGAAUUCCGAGUGUAGAGGUGAAAUUCGUAGAUAUUCGGAAGAACACCAGUGGCGAAGGCGGCUCACUGGCCCGUUACCGACGCUCAGGCGCGACAACGUGGGGAGCAAACAGG
This 253-nucleotide ribosomal RNA is filed under the name uncultured bacterium. RNAcentral's name for it is "partial 16S ribosomal RNA". It matches the Rfam family "Bacterial small subunit ribosomal RNA", at positions 524 to 776 of the family's 1533-position model. The record is from RNAcentral.